GGUAGCAUGGUGUAGUGGUUUGAGUGAUAGACUGGAAUUCUAGAAGACUCGGGUUCAAAUCCCUGCCCAGCCA
Non-coding RNA from Phrynosoma platyrhinos (Desert horned lizard), 73 nucleotides. Lineage: Eukaryota; Metazoa; Chordata; Lepidosauria; Squamata; Phrynosomatidae. The record is from the annotation of a GenBank genome assembly.